RNAcentral lists this ribosomal RNA (305 nucleotides) under uncultured bacterium. RNAcentral's name for it is "bacterial SSU rRNA". It matches the Rfam family "Bacterial small subunit ribosomal RNA", at positions 333 to 633 of the family's 1533-position model. The record is from RNAcentral.
GAGGUCCUACGGGGGGCAGCAGUGAGGAAUAUUGGUCAAUGGACGCAAGUCUGAACCAGCCACGUAGCGUGCAGGAUGACGGCCCUCCGGGUUGUAAACUGCUUUUAGUUGGGAAUAAAAGGGGGCUCUUGAGCCCCGUAUUGUAUGUACCAUCAGAAAAAGGACCGGCUAAUUCCGUGCCAGCAGCCGCGGGAAUACGGAAGGUCCGGGCGUUAUCCGGAUUUAUUGGGUUUAAAGGGAGCGUAGGCCGGCUUUUAAGUCAGCUGUGAACGUCCGCGGCUCAACCGUGGAAUUGCAGUUGACAC